GAUGAACGCUGGCGGCGUGCUUAACACAUGCAAGUCGAACGGAAAGGCCCAAGCUUGCUUGGGUACUCGAGUGGCGAACGGGUGAGUAACACGUGGGUGAUCUGCCCUGCACUUCGGGAUAAGCCUGGGAAACUGGGUCUAAUACCGGAUAGGACCACAUUUUGGAUGGUGUGGUGGAAAGUUUUUCGGUGUGGGAUGAGCUCGCGGCCUAUCAGCUUGUUGGUGGGGUAAUGGCCUACCAAGGCGUUGACGGGUAGCCGGCCUGAGAGGGUGUACGGCCACAUUGGGACUGAGAUACGGCCCAGACUCCUACGGGAGGCAGCAGUGGGGAAUAUUGCACAAUGGGCGCAAGCCUGAUGCAGCGACGCCGCGUGGGGGAUGACGGCCUUCGGGUUGUAAACUCCUUUCGCUAGGGACGAAGCGCAAGUGACGGUACCUGGAGAAGAAGCACCGGCUAACUACGUG
RNAcentral lists this ribosomal RNA (465 nucleotides) under uncultured bacterium. Its description in RNAcentral is "partial 16S ribosomal RNA". It matches the Rfam family "Bacterial small subunit ribosomal RNA", at positions 28 to 507 of the family's 1533-position model. The record is from RNAcentral.